UACGAAGGGGGCUAGCGUUGCUCGGAAUCACUGGGCGUAAAGGGUGCGUAGGCGGGUCUUUAAGUCAGGGGGGAAAUCCUGGAGCUCAACUCCAGAACUGCCUUUGAUACUGAGGAUCUUGAGUUCGGGAGAGGUGAGUGGAACUGCGAGUGUAGAGGUGAAAUUCGUAGAUAUUCGCAAGAACACCAGUGGCGAAGGCGGCUCACUGGCCCGAUACUGACGCUGAGGCACGAAGGCGUGGGGAGCAAACAGG
RNAcentral lists this ribosomal RNA (253 nucleotides) under uncultured bacterium. RNAcentral's name for it is "partial 16S ribosomal RNA". It matches the Rfam family "Bacterial small subunit ribosomal RNA", at positions 524 to 776 of the family's 1533-position model. The record is from RNAcentral.